ACGAACGCUGGCGGCGUGCUUAACACAUGCAAGUCGAACGGUGAAGCGCCUUCCUUUUUGGUGGGUGUGGAUGAGUGGCGACCGGGUGAGUAACACGUGAGUAACCUGCCCCCUUCUUCUGGAUAACCGCAUGAAAGUGUGGCUAAUACGGGAUAUUCUGGGUCUGUCGCAUGAUGGGUCUGGGAAAGAUAUUGUUUCGGUGGGGGAUGGGCUCGCGGCCUAUCAGCUUGUUGGUGGGGUGAUGGCCUACCAAGGCGGUGACGGGUAGCCGGCCUGAGAGGGUGGACGGUCACACUGGGACUGAGACACGGCCCAGACUCCUACGGGAGGCAGCAGUGGGGAAUAUUGCACAAUGGGCGCAAGCCUGAUGCAGCGACGCCGCGUGAGGGAUGGAGGCCUUCGGGUUGUGAACCUCUUUCGCCAGUGAAGCAGGCCUGCCUCGUUUGUGGGUGGGUUGACGGUAGCUGGAUAAGAAGCGCCGGCUAACUACGUG
This 493-nucleotide ribosomal RNA is filed under the name uncultured bacterium. RNAcentral describes it as "partial 16S ribosomal RNA". It matches the Rfam family "Bacterial small subunit ribosomal RNA", at positions 29 to 507 of the family's 1533-position model. The record is from RNAcentral.